GAUGAAGAACGGCAGCGAAAUGCGAUAAGUAGUGUGAAUUGCAGAAUUCAGUGAAUCAUCGAAUCUUUGAACGCACAUUGCGCCUUCUAGUAUUCUGGGAGGCAUGCCUGUUUGAGCGUCAUUAAACCUCUCUCAAGUAUGAUUACUUGGAUGUGAAGGAAGAGUACCUUAAACUUAAGGAGUGUUCUCCUUUGAAAUUGAUUAGCAGAUGGUAAUGUUAUUAAAUCCCUGAUGUUGUAAGAAAUAACAGUGGUUUUGUAGACUAUUAUCUAGCUUUAAAUUAUAAUUUUUAUUAUGGUUGACCUCAAAUCAGGUAAGGAUACCCGCUGAACUUAAGCAUAUCAAUAAGCGGAGGA
Molecule: unclassified non-coding RNA, 356 nt
Filed under: soil metagenome
Description: partial contains 5.8S ribosomal RNA, internal transcribed spacer 2, and large subunit ribosomal RNA
Rfam family: 5.8S ribosomal RNA (bases 1-121)
Source: RNAcentral